MicroRNA precursor from Dipodomys ordii (Ord's kangaroo rat), 66 nucleotides. The record is from Ensembl. NCBI's taxonomy places the organism in Eukaryota, Metazoa, Chordata, Mammalia, Rodentia, Heteromyidae.
GAAGAUAGGUUAUCCGUGUUGCCUUCGCUGUAUCGGUGACGAAUCAUACACGGUUGACCUAUUUUU